Molecule: long non-coding RNA, 1756 nt
Organism: Oxyura jamaicensis (ruddy duck)
Lineage: Eukaryota; Metazoa; Chordata; Aves; Anseriformes; Anatidae
Exons: 2
Source: RefSeq, a predicted model, not a curated record
AAGGAAAAGGAAAAGGAAAGAGAAAAAUAAAAAGAGGUAAAAACAGUGUGUUUAUCUCUGGGAUUAAAACUGGUGUUUUCGGCCCUGGCACCAGUCAGUGUCCAGCCAGCCAGUGGUGCUGUGCUGGGGGUGCUGGGCACAGGCUGGGAGGGAGCAGCCACAAAGCAAACUCCCAAGCUGGAACCACGGCUUCCCAUACCUGUCACCAUGUGAAUUUUCAGCUUGAGCACACAAGGCUGAGCUCAGGGGACACUGUCAUGUAGAUUUAGGGUUUUAUCUCCUUUCCUCUCCAUUAGCUCUGAUACCCUCUUAUUAUGCUGAAAACCGAAACGCUUUUUCCUCCAGCGGCUCUCCCCUUUCCCCGUGGGCAAAUAUCGAUCUGCCCGUGUCCUCAGCACAGGUUGAAAGCAGCCCCGCUCGCCUGAGCCUGCCUGGGGACCGAGCGCUCGGCCGUGCCACCUCUGGUGCCAUCAAGGAUGGAGGAGAAGGCUGGGGAGGAGGGGACGGAGAUCAGUUCGUUUUUCUCUCCCCAUCCUUUCUCUCCCUGCGCUGGCAGUGACAGGGCGCUGAGCAGGACGGCUCCGAUUGCGCCUGGCAGGUGGAAGGGGGGAUGAAAAGGGAUGGAAAGGGCAGAAAGGGAAAGAGCAGCUGGGGUAACUGCAGGCUUCUCCCAGCCCGGCUGCAUGGGCAGGUCCUGCAGCACCUGGAAAGCUCGGAAGGCAGCGGAGCAGCUGCUCUGCCCCCAGCUCGGGGCUGGCCGGUGCGAGAGGCUGCCCCUGCUCCUCCUGGGGCGUGAUUUUGAGCCAAUUUAAUUAAACUGCUUGGAAAGGUUGCAAGGACUCAUCUAUUUCGGCUCGAACCAGGCCUGUUUUGACUUAGCGCUGGCUGAUGAGGAAUUAGCCGAAACAAACCACUCAGAAAACAAAAUUAGAGGGCCCACACUAACUUUUGCACCAGAUUAAGUUGAAUUAAAAAGCAAUUGAAAUGUAAUUUUCCUGUCUCGAGCAGCCAAGAAAACGAGAUAAUGCAACCAGUGGCACUUGAAACUUAAAAAUAAGGCAGCUAGGAUCGGCACAACCAGCUCUUAGUGCCCACGAGCAGCAGGUUUAUUGGAGGUCUGUGAAGCCCCCUCCCCACGCACCUUCUGUGCAAAGCUUUGCACAACCUGCAUCCUUUGCCCUGAAAGGGAGCCUUGAAUCCACGAUUUGGAGCAGCCCAGGUGCUGCACAGGGCAUUUCCGUGGGUGUUUCCGUGCUGGAAAUAGCCACACAGUGGAGUUUUUUUGCUGUAGCUCUCAUAAUUUACGUUGAAACAGCCACGGUGCCACACGGGCAGCAGGGUCGGAGGGCUCACUGCACUCCUGGGGGCUGGAGGCAGAGGGUGCAGACCCCAGCGCUGCGUCCUGUCAUUUAAAAUGUGGCUUUAGUGACAUAUUUUAAUAGCUGCUUUCCCCCCAUUUGGCAAAAGCUGCUCUUUGUCCUGCCCCAACCUCUCUGUUCAUUCCAGGCCACGCUCCCCACCGUGCCCCUGCCCAUGUGGGUUUUACGGGGCUUUGCCAAAAAGGGUGAUGUUUUGGAGGGCUGGCAAAGCCAAGGUGAGUCCCCAGAGACUCUUCAGAGUCCCCAGAGCUGCCCAAGUGCCACACCAAGCCCUGCUGCGAGCGGUUAUUUGCAGCCCUGGCUGAAAUCUAAAGGAUUUGUGCAGACCAUAGGUCCCUGCUGGGUGUCUCCGUGCUGCCUCCUGCCACAGCCCGGUC